RNAcentral lists this ribosomal RNA (437 nucleotides) under Alcanivorax sp. EBKC75. Its description in RNAcentral is "bacterial SSU rRNA". It matches the Rfam family "Bacterial small subunit ribosomal RNA", at positions 443 to 877 of the family's 1533-position model. The record is from RNAcentral. Lineage: Bacteria; Pseudomonadati; Pseudomonadota; Gammaproteobacteria; Oceanospirillales; Alcanivoracaceae.
GGCUUACCGCUAAUAACGGUGAGUACUUGACGUUACCUACAGAAGAAGCACCGGCUAAUUUCGUGCCAGCAGCCGCGGUAAUACGAAAGGUGCGAGCGUUAAUCGGAAUUACUGGGCGUAAAGCGCGCGUAGGCGGUUUGUUAAGUCAGAUGUGAAAGCCCCGGGCUCAACCUGGGAAUUGCAUUUGAAACUGGCAGGCUAGAGUGCAGUAGAGGGAGGUGGAAUUUCCGGUGUAGCGGUGAAAUGCGUAGAGAUCGGAAGGAACAUUUUGUGAGGAAGGCGGCCUCCUGGACUGACACUGACGCUGAGGUGCGAAAGCGUUGGGAGCAAACAGGAUUAGAUACCCUGGUAGUCCACGCCGUAAACGAUGUCUACUAGUCGUUGGGAAUCUUAGUAUUCUUGGUGACGAAGUUAACGCGAUAAGUAGACCGCCUGGG